GACAGAGGGUGCAAACGUUGUUCGGAAUUACUGGGCGUAAAGCGCGUGUAGGCUGCUCGGAAAGUCGGAUGUGAAAGCCCUGGGCUCAACCUAGGAAGUGCAUUCGAAACUUCCGAGCUGGAGUGCUGGAGAGGAAGGCGGAAUUCUCGGUGUAGAGGUGAAAUUCGUAGAUAUCGAGAGGAACACCGGUGGCGAAGGCGGCCUUCUGGACAGCUACUGACGCUGAGGCGCGAAAGCUAGGGGAGCAAACAGG
Molecule: ribosomal RNA, 253 nt
Filed under: uncultured bacterium
Lineage: Bacteria
Description: partial 16S ribosomal RNA
Rfam family: Bacterial small subunit ribosomal RNA
Source: RNAcentral